ACUAUUUUGGCAGAUAAGUGUAAUGGUUUUAGAAAUCAUUUUAUAUAUAAAAUUUAUUAUAUAUUUAGUA
This 70-nucleotide transfer RNA is filed under the name Somabrachys aegrota. RNAcentral describes it as "transfer RNA-Leu (CUN)". The record is from RNAcentral. Lineage: Eukaryota; Metazoa; Arthropoda; Insecta; Lepidoptera; Somabrachyidae.